CCCAGCGUGUGCGUGGCCCUGGACGCGGCCCACUGCCCGAUUUACAGCCAUGGCCCCUACCCUGAUGUGCAGGGGCAGGAUUCCCCCUCAGCCCAGCCCGGCCUGGCCCCCCUAACGCCGCAACCCACCAGCUCCCGCCAGCAGUGUCUUGGCCCCGAUGUCUUCAGCUUCCCAGACCCCCCUGGUGGGGGGCAGCCCCUCCAGCGCCACCGCUCCACCUCCACCCCCAACGUGCACAUGGUCAGCACGGCCGAGCCCGGGGACGACGCCACCCGGCAGGUGAGAGCCCGGCAGGGCGGGGAGUGGGGCCGGGGCCUGGCGCCUGCAGGGGACGCCGGCUCCCAUCAGCCCCAGGGCAGGGACUGG
This 366-nucleotide long non-coding RNA is filed under the name Gopherus evgoodei (Goodes thornscrub tortoise). Its description in RNAcentral is "lncRNA (ENSGEVG00005018463.1)". The record is from RNAcentral. Lineage: Eukaryota; Metazoa; Chordata; Testudines; Testudinidae.